RNAcentral lists this ribosomal RNA (258 nucleotides) under uncultured bacterium. Its description in RNAcentral is "partial 16S ribosomal RNA". It matches the Rfam family "Bacterial small subunit ribosomal RNA", at positions 795 to 1052 of the family's 1533-position model. The record is from RNAcentral.
CCACGCUGUAAACGUUGGGCACUAGUUGUGGGGGCUUUUGUUGGUUUCCGCGACGUAGCUAACGCAUUAAGUGCCCCGCCUGGGGAGUACGGCCGCAAGGCUAAAACUCAAAGGAAUUGACGGGGACCCGCACAAGCGGCGGAGCAUGCGGAUUAAUUCGAUGCAACGCGAAGAACCUUACCAAGGCUUGACAUGCACCAGGCGACCUUAGAGAUAGGGUUUCCCUUUGUGGCUGGUGUGCAGGUGGUGCAUGGUUGU